Molecule: unclassified non-coding RNA, 378 nt
Filed under: uncultured Cellvibrionales bacterium
Lineage: Bacteria; Pseudomonadati; Pseudomonadota; Gammaproteobacteria; Cellvibrionales
Description: contains 16S-23S intergenic spacer region
Source: RNAcentral
UCCGGUUUGUCACCGGCAGUCUCCUUAGAGUUCCCACCUUUACGUGCUGGCAACUAAGGACAAGGGUUGCGCUCGUUACGGGACUUAACCCAACAUCUCACGACACGAGCUGACGACAGCCAUGCAGCACCUGUCUCUGUGCUCCCGAAGGCACCCCUAUAUCUCUACAAGGUUCACAGGAUGUCAAGAGUAGGUAAGGUUCUUCGCGUUGCGUCGAAUUAAACCACAUGCUCCACCGCUUGUGCGGGCCCCCGUCAAUUCAUUUGAGUUUUAACCUUGCGGCCGUACUCCCCAGGCGGUCUACUUAUUGCGUUAGCUGCGCCACUAACCCCUCAAGGAGGCCAACGGCUAGUAGACAUCGUUUACGGCGUGGACUAC